This 261-nucleotide long non-coding RNA is filed under the name Linum usitatissimum (flax). RNAcentral describes it as "long non-coding RNA (LUSI_LNC000675)". Lineage: Eukaryota; Viridiplantae; Streptophyta; Magnoliopsida; Malpighiales; Linaceae. The record is from RNAcentral.
UUCAAAUUCAUGAUCACUGCUGCCAUUGCUAUGGGAUAUUAACCUUCUCUUCCUUCUAUGUUUGAUAAUUUUAUCACAUCCAGACUUGCUACCAGUGAUUGCAUGGUGCCUACGCUUGGUCAUUUCUCUGGAAUACAAGUGAGAUUUCUCACAUGGAAGUGCUUGUACUAUUUCUGGGAACGUCACAUCGCAACGAAUACGCUUGGCUGAAGUAAAUCUAUUGACUGUGGGGAUAAUAGAGGCUAGCCUUUCCCACCUCAA